This 466-nucleotide ribosomal RNA is filed under the name uncultured bacterium. RNAcentral's name for it is "partial 16S ribosomal RNA". It matches the Rfam family "Bacterial small subunit ribosomal RNA", at positions 28 to 507 of the family's 1533-position model. The record is from RNAcentral.
GAUGAACGCUGGCGGCGUGCUUAACACAUGCAAGUCGAACGAUGAAGCCCAGCUUGCUGGGUGGAUUAGUGGCGAACGGGUGAGUAACACGUGAGUAACCUGCCCUUAACUCGGGGAUAAGCCUGGGAAACUGGGUCUAAUACCGGAUAGGAGCGUCCACCGCAUGGUGGGUGUUGGAAAGAUUUAUCGGUUUUGGAUGGACUCGCGGCCUAUCAGCUUGUUGGUGAGGUAAUGGCUCACCAAGGCGACGACGGGUAGCCGGCCUGAGAGGGUGACCGGCCACACUGGGACUGAGACACGGCCCAGACUCCUACGGGAGGCAGCAGUGGGGAAUAUUGCACAAUGGGCGCAAGCCUGAUGCAGCGACGCCGCGUGAGGGAUGACGGCCUUCGGGUUGUAAACCUCUUUCAGUAGGGAAGAAGCGAAAGUGACGGUACCUGCAGAAGAAGCACCGGCUAACUACGUG